This 423-nucleotide ribosomal RNA is filed under the name uncultured bacterium. RNAcentral describes it as "bacterial SSU rRNA". It matches the Rfam family "Bacterial small subunit ribosomal RNA", at positions 917 to 1341 of the family's 1533-position model. The record is from RNAcentral.
GGACCCGCACAAGCGGUGGAGUAUGUGGCUUAAUUCGAUGCAACGCGAAGAACCUUACCUAGGCUUGACAUGUAUUGCUAAGCACGUGAAAGCGUGUGACUCUUCGGAGACCUUACACAGGUGCUGCAUGGCCAUCGUCAGCUCGUGUCGUGAGAUGUUUGGUUAAGUCCAGCAACGAGCGCAACCCCUGUGGAUAGUUGCCAGCACGUAAUGGUGGGGACUCUAUCCAGACUGCCCAGGUCAACUGGGAGGAAGGUGGGGAUGACGUCAGGUCAGUAUGGCCCUUACGCCUAGGGCUGCACACGUACUACAAUGCCCAGCACAAUGAGAACCGAGACCGCGAGGUGGAGGAAAUCUGCAAAACUGGGCCCAGUUCGGAUUGGAGGCUGCAACUCGCCUCCAUGAAGUUGGAAUCGCUAGUAA